RNAcentral lists this transfer RNA (66 nucleotides) under Phraortes illepidus. RNAcentral describes it as "tRNA-Ile". RNAcentral also lists the same sequence under 3 other names. The record is from RNAcentral. Lineage: Eukaryota; Metazoa; Arthropoda; Insecta; Phasmatodea; Lonchodidae.
AAUGGAAUGCUUGAUUAUAAGGUUAUCUUGAUGUGAUAAAAAAUGUAAAUAUUAUUACUUCCAUUA